AAGUCGAGGGGCAGCACGGUGUAGCAAUACACUGGUGGCGACCGGCGCACGGGUGCGUAACGCGUAUGCAACCUACCCAUAACAGGGGGAUAACACUGAGAAAUUGGUACUAAUACCCCAUAACAUCAGGACCGGCAUCGGUUCUGGUUGAAAACUCCGGUGGUUAUGGAUGGACAUGCGUUGUAUUAGCUAGUUGGUGAGGUAACGGCUCACCAAGGCAACGAUACAUAGGGGGACUGAGAGGAAGGUCCCCACAUUGGAACUGAGACACGGUCCAAACUCC
Molecule: ribosomal RNA, 283 nt
Filed under: uncultured Alistipes sp.
Lineage: Bacteria; Pseudomonadati; Bacteroidota; Bacteroidia; Bacteroidales; Rikenellaceae
Description: partial 16S ribosomal RNA
Rfam family: Bacterial small subunit ribosomal RNA
Source: RNAcentral